CCGGCGGCGGCGGCGACUC
This 19-nucleotide microRNA is filed under the name Cervus elaphus (red deer). RNAcentral's name for it is "PC-3p-474". Lineage: Eukaryota; Metazoa; Chordata; Mammalia; Artiodactyla; Cervidae. The record is from RNAcentral.